CCGACCUUAGCUCAGUUGGUAGAGCGGAGGACUGUAGAUUGUGCAGAAUAAUCCUUAGGUCGCUGGUUCGAAUCCGGCAGGUCGGA
This 86-nucleotide transfer RNA is filed under the name Zea mays. It matches the Rfam family "tRNA". Rfam says of the family: Transfer RNA (tRNA) molecules are approximately 80 nucleotides in length. The record is from Rfam by way of RNAcentral. Lineage: Eukaryota; Viridiplantae; Streptophyta; Magnoliopsida; Poales; Poaceae.